This 523-nucleotide ribosomal RNA is filed under the name uncultured Glomus. RNAcentral describes it as "SSU rRNA". It matches the Rfam family "Eukaryotic small subunit ribosomal RNA", at positions 569 to 1092 of the family's 1831-position model. Lineage: Eukaryota; Fungi; Glomeromycota; Glomeromycetes; Glomerales; Glomeraceae. The record is from RNAcentral.
AGCAGCCGCGGUAAUUCCAGCUCCAAUAGCGUAUAUUAAAGUUGUUGCAGUUAAAAAGCUCGUAGUUGGAUUUCGGGACCAAUACGUCGGUCGUGCUUUCGGGUACGUACUGUCGUUAUUGGUUUCUACCUUCUGACGAACCAUGAUGUCAUUAAUUUGGUGUUAUGGGGAGUUAGGACCGUUACUUUGAAAAAAUUAGAGUGUUUAAAGCAGGCAUUAGCUUGAAUACAUUAGCAUGGAAUAAUGAAAUAGGACGUUCGAUCCUAUUUUGUUGGUUUCUAGGAUCAACGUAAUGAUUAAUAGGGAUAGUUGGGGGCAUUAGUAUUCAAUUGUCAGAGGUGAAAUUCUUGGAUUUAUUGAAGACUAACUACUGCGAAAGCAUUUGCCAAGGAUGUUUUCAUUAAUCAAGAACGAAAGUUAGGGGAUCGAAGACGAUCAGAUACCGUCGUAGUCUUAACCAUAAACUAUGCCGACUAGGGAUCGGAUGAUGUUAAUUUUUUAAUGACUCAUUCGGCGCCUUACG